Molecule: non-coding RNA, 1769 nt
Organism: Lolium perenne
Lineage: Eukaryota; Viridiplantae; Streptophyta; Magnoliopsida; Poales; Poaceae
Source: RefSeq, a predicted model, not a curated record
UUUGUUUAGAUUGGUUGAGGAGAGGAGACAAAUCCGUGGCCUAUAGCUUUCGUUGGGGAAGAUGGAGCACCAAAACCGCACAAUUGGUUUAGAUGAUUGUUUUAAUCUGUGUUUCAGUCCAUUUUCUGUCCAAUGCUUGUUUACAAGUGUUUUUAUUAGCAUUUUUUUUUGCUCGACUAAUCAGGACAUUGGUCUGGAAAUGAUCAUUUGACCUUGUUUUGCUUGGGUUAUAUGGCGUUAGAACUAUCACUUUCUCUUUACAAUGAAUGUUGAGGGUACUGAUAAGCUCCUUUUGUGGAGUGUAAAACUAAUAGCAUGUUUAUUUAGCACUGCAACAAUAGCAUAUAAAUAUAUGGUCCUUCUCAUUAUUCUGUAAUAUUUCUUGAUAUAAUAAAUUUAUAAUUCACAUGAUAGGAGUUUAAUUAUAUACCAUCAUGUCUGUUAAUUUAAGAAAAUACUAGCUUGCAGCUAAGCUCAUUGUUGGAGACAUGUUUUUGCUGAGUUAGGGUUCUUUUGUGAAGACCAUUGAUAUGUAUUAAUCUGGACAUGUUCUCGCUGAGUUGUAUCUUGGGCCACCUUGCUUUUCUUAUCACGUGUCAUUAGAUUUCUUUUAUUGCAUCUUCCGUUUAUAUUUGUCCAAAGUAGCGGAGAACCUGGACUUGAGACUAAGAAAAUUUCCUCCAUUCUUGCAGGAUGAUCAUUGAUUCAUACCGUUCUAAGUUUAAAGCAUGUUUUAUGUGGUGUGGUACCUUUGGUUCAAGACAGUGAAGAUAAAGGACAGGGAGGUCAGCUGCCAGACAACGUGUUUGGCAAGGAUGCAGUUGUUGAUCCAAAAUCAGCCGUCGAACCUCUGCCUCUGCCAAAAGAUAAAAAGUGUGGGACAUAACCUGUGAAACAAUCGACCGGUGCAGCCGACAAGAAAAAACAACCCUUAGACCGUAGAAGUACAUGGCUCCAGCUUCACGCUGAGGCUCGUAUGCCCUGAUUUACCCCUACAAGGUUGGCAUUGUGACUAUAGAUGGUAUACAAUCGUCCAAGCUCAGGCACUGUGCCAACGCAAAUUACUGGAAGCGUCGUCCUAGGUAGAUGCAGUCACAAUUGGCUGCAGUGGGUAGACAAAAAGAAAUCGAUGUGAGCAAGGUAAAUUUCACCCGUGUUUGUGCAUGUCUUGACUUUACUUUGACCAUGUUGACACGUUUUCCAACUUAUCUGCAUGUUGUCCUUGAUAAGCAAUAAUUAGGUGACUUCAAAUAUAUCUGCCUGGCAAGACCAAAUAAGCUUGAUGAAUUGCCCUCAAGAAAGCCAUGUAACUUUUGGGAACCCUAUGAUGGCAUUCAAAUACAGAGCCUCUCAAGCUCGGUCUAGAAUAUUUAUCAAAGAAGAGUUAGAAGAGGGGCGAGAGGAGAUGGCAUGUGCAACCAGAGCUUCACUGCUGCUCUGCGAUAAAGCUUGAGCAUAGGCAUAUGGCUACACUUGUGGACUGGUUGCUACAAUUCAAAUACUUAGGCUUCUUAGGCCUUCCCUUUACAUAAGGUCCUAUAUCUGAAUGCAGGUCUCAAGCAUGGCUUAAAAUCACAACCUUUUGGCACCCUCCUAAUGUUGGCUGGACAAAAACAAAUGGUGAUGGGGCUUUCAGUUCUGGGCCCGGGGAAGCGGCCUAUGGAUCCAUUGCUUGUGAUCACCAGGGCCGAUUCUACCCAAACGCAGCUAAUGCCCUCUCUAUGGAGGCUCAUGCUAUUCGAGGUGUGAUUCUGGCCAGGGAUAAGAAG